Molecule: ribosomal RNA, 440 nt
Filed under: uncultured bacterium
Lineage: Bacteria
Description: partial 16S ribosomal RNA
Rfam family: Bacterial small subunit ribosomal RNA
Source: RNAcentral
CCUACGGGAGGCUGCAGUGGGGAAUAUUGCACAAUGGGGGAAACCCUGAUGCAGCGACGCCGCGUGAGUGAAGAAGUAUUUCGGUAUGUAAAGCCCUAUCAGCAGGGAAGAAAAUGACGGUACCUGACUAAGAAGCACCGGCUAACUACGUGCCAGCCGCCGCGGGAAUACGUAGGGGGCAAGCGUUAUCCGGAUUUACUGGGUGUAAAGGGAGCGUAGGCGGGCAGAAAAGUCAGAAGUGAAAGCCGAGGGCUCAACCCUGGGACUGCGUUUGAAACUGCGGGGCUGGAGUGCAGGAGCGGUAAGCGGAAUUCCUAGUGUAGCGGUGAAAUGCGUAGAUAUUAGGAGGAACACCAGUGGCGAAGGCAGCUUACUGGACUGUAACUGACGUUGAGGCUCGAAAGCGUGGGGAGCAAACAGGAUUAGAUACCCGAGUAGUC